This 1343-nucleotide ribosomal RNA is filed under the name uncultured bacterium. Its description in RNAcentral is "16S ribosomal RNA". It matches the Rfam family "Bacterial small subunit ribosomal RNA", at positions 28 to 1378 of the family's 1533-position model. The record is from RNAcentral.
GACGAACGCUGGCGGCGUGCUUAACACAUGCAAGUCGAACGGAAAGGCCCUGCUUUUGUGGGGUGCUCGAGUGGCGAACGGGUGAGUAACACGUGAGUAACCUGCCCUUGACUUUGGGAUAACUUCAGGAAACUGGGGCUAAUACCGGAUAGGAGCUCCUGCUGCAUGGUGGGGGUUGGAAAGUUUCGGCGGUUGGGGAUGGACUCGCGGCUUAUCAGCUUGUUGGUGGGGUAGUGGCUUACCAAGGCUUUGACGGGUAGCCGGCCUGAGAGGGUGACCGGCCACAUUGGGACUGAGAUACGGCCCAGACUCCUACGGGAGGCAGCAGUGGGGAAUAUUGCACAAUGGGCGGAAGCCUGAUGCAGCAACGCCGCGUGCGGGAUGACGGCCUUCGGGUUGUAAACCGCUUUCGCCUGUGACGAAGCGUGAGUGACGGUAAUGGGUAAAGAAGCACCGGCUAACUACGUGCCAGCAGCCGCGGUGAUACGUAGGGUGCGAGCGUUGUCCGGAUUUAUUGGGCGUAAAGGGCUCGUAGGUGGUUGAUCGCGUCGGAAGUGUAAUCUUGGGGCUUAACCCUGAGCGUGCUUUCGAUACGGGUUGACUUGAGGAAGGUAGGGGAGAAUGGAAUUCCUGGUGGAGCGGUGGAAUGCGCAGAUAUCAGGAGGAACACCAGUGGCGAAGGCGGUUCUCUGGGCCUUUCCUGACGCUGAGGAGCGAAAGCGUGGGGAGCGAACAGGCUUAGAUACCCUGGUAGUCCACGCUGUAAACGGUGGGUACUAGGUGUGGGGUCCAUUCCACGGGUUCCGUGCCGUAGCUAACGCUUUAAGUACCCCGCCUGGGGAGUACGGCCGCAAGGCUAAAACUCAAAGGAAUUGACGGGGCCCCGCACAAGCGGCGGAGCAUGCGGAUUAAUUCGAUGCAACGCGUAGAACCUUACCUGGGUUUGACAUGGAUCGGGAGUGCUCAGAGAUGGGUGUGCCUCUUUUGGGGUCGGUUCACAGGUGGUGCAUGCCUGUCGUCAGCUCGUGUCGUGAGAUGUUGGGUUAAGUCCCGCAACGAGCGCAACCCUUGUUCACUGUUGCCAGCACGUUAUGGUGGGGACUCAGUGGAGACCGCCGGGGUCAACUCGGAGGAAGGUGGGGAUGACGUCAAGUCAUCAUGCCCCUUAUGUCCAGGGCUUCACGCAUGCUACAAUGGCUGGUACAGAGAGUGGCGAGCCUGUGAGGGUGAGCGAAUCUCGGAAAGCCGGUCUCAGUUCGAAUUGGGGUCUGCAACUCGACCUCAUGAAGUCGGAGUCGCUAGUAAUCGCAGAUCAGCAACGCUGCGGUGAAUACGUUCCCGGG